GAUAUCUGCACAGCCGUGGCCUAAUGGUAAGGCGUUGCUUUCCGGUGGCAAAGAUUGUGGGUUCGAGUCCCAUCGGUGUCG
RNAcentral lists this transfer RNA (81 nucleotides) under Pseudocercospora pini-densiflorae CBS 125139. RNAcentral describes it as "tRNA-Arg (CCG) (tRNA-Arg-CCG-2-1)". The stretch from base 10 to 80 matches the Rfam family "tRNA". Rfam says of the family: Transfer RNA (tRNA) molecules are approximately 80 nucleotides in length. Their secondary structure includes four short double-helical elements and three loops (D, anti-codon, and T loops). The record is from RNAcentral. Lineage: Eukaryota; Fungi; Ascomycota; Dothideomycetes; Mycosphaerellales; Mycosphaerellaceae.